CAAUAGCGUAUAUUAAAGUUGUUGCGGUUAAAAAGCUCGUAGUUGGAUUUCAGCGGACAGGGGGCGGUUCGAUAUUUGUCGCUACUGCCCCAUUUGUCCGUGUUUUUGGCGGAGGUUUCAGGGUGCUCUUCACCGAGUGUCCUGGGAUGCCGUCCGGUUUACUUUGAAAAAAUUAGAGUGCUCAAAGCAGGCUUUACACGCUUGAAUAUUCGUGCAUGGAAUAAUGGAAUAGGACGUCGUUUCUAUUUUGUUGGUUUUCGGAAAUCGACGUAAUGAUUAACAGGGACAGUCGGGGGCAUUAGUAUUCAGACGACAGAGGUGAAAUUCUUGGAUUUAUGAAAGACGAACUUCUGCGAAAGCAUUUACCAAAGAUGUUUUCAUUAA
This 384-nucleotide ribosomal RNA is filed under the name uncultured eukaryote. Its description in RNAcentral is "partial 18S ribosomal RNA". It matches the Rfam family "Eukaryotic small subunit ribosomal RNA", at positions 592 to 976 of the family's 1831-position model. The record is from RNAcentral.